AUCUCAGUCCGUCUCGUUUUCAUUUUUCGCACACCAAUUUCCCGAGAAACAAACGCGAAGCUAGAAAGAGAGAGAGAGAGAGAGAGAGAGAGAGAGAGAGAGAGAGAGAACAACCAAAGUGAAGAUGUCUGAUUACGAAGGAAGGUACGAAGGAAACGGCGAGGACGCCGACAAUUAUGGCGGUGGCUCCUCUCCUCAGCCUCGUGGUAGCAGCCAUGGUGGCCCUGAAGAUCACAGCGACACCAAGUCUCAGCAUGGGUCUCGUGAUUAUGAAAGAGAGUCUUCUAAAAGCAGGGAGAAGGAUAGAGAAAAAGGGCGUGAUAAGGAGAGGGACAGGGAUAGAGAUCGGGACCGUGAUCGGGAGAGGGAUAGAGACAAGGAUAGGGAGAGAAGCAAGGACAGGGAUAGAGAUAGGGAAAGGGAUAGAGACCGAGACCGGGACCGGGACCGUCAUCAUAGAGAUCGCCACAGGGAUCGUGAUCGUAGUGAAAGAAGGGAACGUGGCCGGGAUAGAGAUGAUGAUGAUUAUUAUCGAGGUGGCCGGGACUAUGACAGACGAAGGGAUUUUGAUAGAGACAGAGAGGAGAGGAGCAAGCGGAAGUCUCGCUCUCGUUCAAAGGGUAGAUCAGAGCACAGAUCAAGGUCACGUUCUCGGUCACGGUCAAAGAGCAAAAGGAUUAGUGGCUUUGAUAUGGCGCCUCCUGCUUCUGCAUUGUUAUCUGGUGCAGCUGCUGUAACAGGUCAGAUUGCAGGGGCUACUCCGUCUCUUCCCGGAAUGUUUCCAAACAUGUUUCCUAUAGCAACUGGUCAGCAAUUUGGAGCUCUUCCUGUUAUGCCAGUUCAGGCAAUGACUCAACAGGCUACAAGGCAUGCUCGGCGAGUGUAUGUUGGUGGGCUUCCUCCUACAGCAAAUGAACAGUCUGUUGCGACAUUUUUCAGUCAUGUUAUGGCUGCAAUUGGAGGAAACACUGCUGGUCCAGGAGAUGCUGUUGUCAAUGUUUACAUAAACCAUGAAAAGAAGUUUGCUUUCGUGGAGAUGAGAUCUGUUGAGGAGGCUAGUAAUGCAAUGGCUUUGGAUGGGAUCAUAUUUGAGGGUGCUCCUGUUAAGGUGAGGAGACCUAGUGACUACAACCCAUCUCUUGCCGCAACACUUGGUCCAAGUCAGCCCAAUCCCAAUCUGAACCUUGCUGCUGUUGGGUUAACGCCAGGAUCUGCAGGUGGGCUUGAGGGUCCUGAUCGCAUAUUUGUGGGUGGGCUUCCCUAUUACUUCACUGAAACACAGAUCAGGGAGUUGUUAGAGACUUUUGGGCCACUUCGGGGUUUUGAUCUUGUGAAAGACAGAGAAACGGGAAAUUCAAAAGGCUAUGCAUUUUGUGUUUACCAAGAUCUUUCAGUUACAGACAUAGCUUGUGCAGCUCUGAAUGGAAUUAAGAUGGGUGAUAAAACUCUUACUGUUAGACGUGCUAACCAGGGUGCUAAUCAACCUAAACCCGAGCAAGAGAAUGUAUUGUUGCAUGCACAGCAGCAGAUUGCAUUGCAGAAGCUCAUGUUACAACCAGCUGCUGCAGUGGCCACCAAGGUUGUGUGUCUAACUCAGGCAGUUUCUCCCGAUGAACUCAAAGAAGAUGAUGAUUAUCAAGACAUUUUGGAAGACAUGAGAGAGGAAUGCGGAAAAUUUGCUUUUUUGUAGUCCCACAUUCUGCUUUAAAGAAUCAGGCCUAAUAUACACAGACAGAAGCCUCCAUAACCUUCUUUCUUUGUUCACCUCAUGAUGUUCCUUUGUAUAUUUUGAUAAAUUUUAUGCAUUUUGAAUCUUUAAUGUGAUUUGCAGGUACACUGGUAAAUAUUGUCAUCCCACGCCCACAACCUAACGAUGAACCAUCACCUGGAGUCGGGAAGGUGUUUUUGGAGUAUGCAGACAUUGAGGGUUCUACAAAAGCUCGUACUGGGUUGAAUGGAAGAAAAUUUGGUGGGAAUUCAGUAGUGGCCGUCUAUUAUUCAGAGAACAAGUUUGCCCAGGGGGACUACGAAGGCUAGUUAUUGUCUUGUAUUUUAGUUAAUGUCACAUUGAUAUGUUCAAUAUUUGCUGAGGUAUUCAGUUUAGAAGGUUGAAAAAUGUACUUAGUACACAGCCUAUUGUUGAUUUAGUGGAGUUGACAAAUUAGAUCUGCUAUUGAAUUAAUUAAGUCAAUGAGCUUGUGUUGUCCAUGUUAAUUGGUACAAAUAGCAAAAUGCAGUUUGGAUUGAUACUUGU
This is an RNA transcript of Quercus lobata, 2254 nucleotides long. It is a transcript of the gene named U2 snRNP auxilliary factor, large subunit, splicing factor, with no coding region annotated. The record is from RefSeq and is a predicted model, not a curated record. The transcript has 13 exons. NCBI's taxonomy places the organism in Eukaryota, Viridiplantae, Streptophyta, Magnoliopsida, Fagales, Fagaceae.